UCAAGCUAGUAAGGGCAUACGGUGGAUGCCUAGGCGCUAAGAGGCGAGGAAGGGCGUGGCAAGCUGCGAAAAGCCUCGGGGAGCCGCAAGCAGGCGUAGAUCCGGGGAUGCCCGAAUGGGGUAACCCAGCGGGAGUAAUAUCCCGCUACCACAGGCUGAAUAGAUAGGCUUGUGGGGCGAUACCGGGGGAACUGAAACAUCUUAGUACCCCGAGGAAAAGAAAGAAAGAUCGAUUCCCUGAGUAGCGGCGAGCGAAAGGGGAAGAGCCCAAACCAUAUGCUAAGGCAUAUGGGGUUGUGGGACUUACCGUAAGGGGGCGGAAGAGCUAGCCGAAGCGGAUUGGAAAAUCCCACCAUAGAAGGUAACAGUCCUGUAGGCGAAAGCUUGGAAGUCCUUGGUAAGGAUCCCGAGUACCGCGGGGCACGUGGAACCCCGUGGGAAGCAGGGAGGACCACCUCCCAAGGCUAAAUACUCCUUAGCGACCGAUAGUGGACUAGUACCGUGAGGGAAAGGUGAAAAGCACCCCGGGAGGGGAGUGAAAGAGAACCUGAAACCGUAUGCCUACAAGCAGUGGGAGCCUCGGAAGGGGUGACCGCGUACUUUUUGUAGAACGGGCCGGCGAGUUACGGUAGCUAGCGAGGUUAAGCCUUAAGAGGGCGGAGCCGGAGCGAAAGCGAGUCUGAAGAGGGCGAAAAGUUAGCUGCCGUAGACCCGAAACCGGGUGAUCUACCCAUGGGCAGGAUGAAAUUCCGGUAAAGCGGGAUGGAGGUCCGAACCGACCGUCGUUGAAAAGGCGGCGGAUGACCUGUGGGUAGGGGUGAAAUGCCAAUCGAACCCGGAGAUAGCUGGUUCUCCCCGAAAUAGCUUUAGGGCUAGCCUCAAGGGUUGAUUUGUGGAGGUAGAGCACUGAAAAGGCUAGGGGCCCUACCAGGUUACCGAACCUUUUCAAACUCCGAAUACCACAAAUUGGACCUUGGGAGUCAGACCAUGGGUGAUAAGAUUCAUGGUCGAGAGGGGAACAGCCCAGACCGACAGCUAAGGUCCCCAAGUACGGGCUAAGUGGGGAAGGAUGUGGAGCUGCAGAGACAACCAGGAUGUUGGCUUAGAAGCAGCCAUCAUUUAAAGAGUGCGUAAUAGCUCACUGGUCGAGUGGCUCUGCGCCGAAAAUGUAACGGGGCUCAAGCCCGUCACCGAAGCUUCGGAUAGCGGCGAAGCCGCUAUGGUAGGGGAGCGUUCUCACCUGGUAGAAGCAAGUCUGAGAGGGCAUGUGGACGGGUGAGAAGUGAGAAUGCCGGCAUAAGUAAGCGAAAAGGUGGGUGAGAAUCCCACCCGCCGGAAGCCCAAGGUUUCCUGGGGAAGGCUCGUCCGCCCAGGGUAAGCCGGGACCUAAGCCGAGGCCGGAAGGCGUAGGCGAUGGGCAAUCGGUGGAGAUUCCGAUGCCACCUCAUGGCCGUUAGCAGGAAGGGGUGACGCAGGAGGGUAGGCCAAGCGCACCGUUGGUUGAGUGCGUCCAAGCCGGUAGGGAGUGAGGCAGGCAAAUCCGUCUCACAAAGAUCCCGAGAGGUGAAGGGGAGCGAAAAAUAAGUAGCGAAGUGGCUGAUCCCACACUGCCGAGAAAAGCCUCUAACGAGGCCAUGGGGUGCCCGUACCGGAAACCGACACAGGUGGGCAGGGAGAGAAUCCCGAGGCGCGCGAGAGAACCCUCGUUAAGGAACUCGGCAAAAUGGCCCCGUAACUUCGGGAGAAGGGGUACCCUGCUAGCGUGACCGUUCCGAGCGGAUGGGAGCGCGAGAGGGUCGCAGAGAAAUGGCCCAGGCGACUGUUUACCAAAAACACAGGUGCCUGCUAAAUCGAAAGAUGAAGUAUAGGUGCUGACGCCUGCCCGGUGCUGGAAGGUUAAGGGGAAGGCUUAGCUUGGGGAAACCCGGGCGAAGGUCUGAACCGAAGCCCCAGUAAACGGCGGCCGUAACUAUAACGGUCCUAAGGUAGCGAAAUUCCUUGUCGGGUAAGUUCCGACCCGCACGAAAGGCGUAACGAUCUGGGCACUGUCUCAACGAGGGGCUCGGCGAAAUUGUAGUACCCGUGAAGAUGCGGGUUACCUGCGACAGGACAGAAAGACCCCGUGGAGCUUUACUGUAGCCUGAUAUUGGACUUUGGUAUGUCAUGUACAGGAUAGGUGGGAGACGUAGAAGCAUGGCCGCCAGGCUGUGUGGAGUCGCCGGUGGGAUACCACCCUUGAUGUACUGAAGUUCUAACCCGAGGCCGUGAACCGGUCUGGGGACAGUGUCAGGUGGGCAGUUUGACUGGGGCGGUCGCCUCCUAAAGGGUAACGGAGGCGCCCAAAGGUUCCCUCAGCGCGGUUGGAAAUCGCGCGUAGAGUGCAAAGGCAGAAGGGAGCUUGACUGUGAGACCGACGGGUCGAGCAGGGACGAAAGUCGGGCUUAGUGAUCCGGCGGUACCGAGUGGAAGGGCCGUCGCUCAACGGAUAAAAGCUACCCCGGGGAUAACAGGCUUAUCUCCCCCAAGAGUCCACAUCGACGGGGAGGUUUGGCACCUCGAUGUCGGCUCAUCGCAUCCUGGGGCUGAAGUAGGUCCCAAGGGUUGGGCUGUUCGCCCAUUAAAGCGGUACGUGAGCUGGGUUCAGAACGUCGUGAGACAGUUCGGUCCCUAUCCGUCGCAGGCGCAGGAAACUUGAGAGGAGCUGUCCCUAGUACGAGAGGACCGGGAUGGACAGACCGCUGGUGUACCAGUUGUCCCGCCAGGGGCACAGCUGGGUAGCUAUGUCUGGAAGGGAUAAGCGCUGAAAGCAUCUAAGCGCGAAGCCCGCCUCAAGAUAAGGUUUCCCUUCCCGCAUGGGAGUAAGACCCCUGGAAGAUUACCAGGUUGAUAGGCCAGAAGUGUAAGGUGGGUAACCACCUUAGCGGACUGGUACUAAUAGGUCGAGGGCUUGACCUC
Molecule: ribosomal RNA, 2955 nt
Filed under: Calderihabitans maritimus
Lineage: Bacteria; Bacillati; Bacillota; Clostridia; Neomoorellales; Calderihabitantaceae
Description: bacterial LSU rRNA
Rfam family: Bacterial large subunit ribosomal RNA
Source: RNAcentral